AUUACCGCGGCUGCUGGCACGAAGUUAGCCGGGGCUUCUUCUGCGGGUACCGUCAUUAUCGUCCCCGUCGAAAGGGCUUUACAACCCUAAGGCCUUCAUCACUCACGCGGCAUGGCUGGAUCAGGGUUUCCCCCAUUGGCCAAAAUUCCCCACUGCUGCCUCCCGUAGG
This 169-nucleotide ribosomal RNA is filed under the name uncultured bacterium. RNAcentral's name for it is "partial 16S ribosomal RNA". The record is from RNAcentral.